AGGAGUACCUGGCCGUGUGAGGUGUCAGUCUGCCCCUACUGGGGGGUGCCUCCCAGUCAGGGGCAGGGACCCACUUGAGGAGGCAGUCUGCUCCUUCUCAGAUCUCCAGCUGCAUGCUGGGAGAACCACUGCUCUCUUCAAAGCAGUCAGACAGGGACAUUUAAGUCUGCAGAGGUUACUGCUGUCUUUUUGUCUGUGCCCUGCCCCCAGAGGUGGAGCCUACAAAGGCAGGCAGGCCUCCUUUUGCUGUGGUGAGCUCCACCCAGUUCGAGCUUCCUGGCUGCUUUGUUGACCUGAGCAAGCCUGGGCAAUGGCGGGUGUCCCUCCCCCAGCUUAGCUGCCACCUUGCAGUUUGAUAUGAGACUGCUGUGCUAGCAAUCAGUGAGACUCCGUGGGUGUACGACCCUCCAAGCCAGGUGCAGGCUAUAAUCUCCUGGUGUGCCAUUUUUUAAGCCCAUUGGAAAAGUGCAGUAUUAGGGUGGGAGUGACCCGAUUUUCCAGGUGCCAUCUGUCACCCCUUUCUUUGACUAGGAAAUGGAACUCCCUGACCCCUUGCACUUCCCGAGUGAGGCAAUGCCUCGUCCUGCUUUGGCUCGCGCAUGGUGCGCUGCUCCCAGUGCCCUGCGCCCACUGUCUGGCACUCCCUAGUGAGAUGAACCCCGUACCUCAGAUGGAAAUGCAGAAAUCACUCAUCUUCUGUGUCACUCAGGCUGGGAGCUGUGGACCGGAGCUGUUUGUAUUCGGCCAUCUUGGCUGCCCUCGUCUCUCCUUAUGAUAAAUAUUCUGUGCUGUACUUAAAGAGUGCUGAGCCGCAGUGAAAAGCAAUGAGAGCACCAUACAUGUUCUCUGUUCCAGUUGCCCCACUCUGCCAUUGCAGCACAGAGACAGCCAUGGACGAUAUGUGCUGUUUUAGGACGUGAGAGUACACCCAAAACAAAAAUGGACAGAAAUUCCAGUCUCAUAAAUGUGAGAGAUCCAGAAGAUACUUCUACAAUUUCCCUUCAGUUACAUAUGGACACUUUAAUAAAAGAAUAUUAUUUUUAAGUGAAAAAACUUAAGCUUAUUCCUCAAGGUUCUAAAAUUUCAAUCAACUAUGGAAGUGAAAAUUUCCUGAUAUUUUCUAUGCAUAUGAAUUUAGUCCCACUCUCUUUGGUUUAUACAAAAGGAACUUGUAUCAGUUUGUUAAAUCACAGCCUUAGAAAUUAAGAAUUAAUGUUCAGGAUUAGAGAGCUAUAGGGUCUCAUAUUUUGGUUUUAUUUUGUAAGAAAGUAAUAAAGGUCAUUGUAGUAAAAGCUGCCAAUUAAGGCUAAUUCUAGAAGUCAGGACCUCAGUUUUAUUUUCUAUAGUAUCGUAUGCUUCUUCCCUUUCUACUUGUAAAUUUAUUUUUAUUUCCUAAUGCAUAAUUUUCUAAAACAUUAGUAAUCAUUAAAAUUCUUAUAGCAUGAAAUAAAAAAGUUCUCUUUCACAACAAAGCACUCUCCUAUGAUAUAUUUUCUUAUUUCUUAAAAAAGUUUUUAUAAAAUACACGUACUUCACAAGUAACUGUGUUCAGGUGAGAAGCAAGAUAAUAACAAUGGUUAAGUGAAAAUAUGCAGGACUCAGAAAUCCUGGGUUCAUCUACAUCCUAACUUGACCACCGCCUGGCCACACUGUGUUACUUAACUUGUGUGCAUCACGUAUUUUUUUUUUCAUUCUUAGAAUAAGGGAAAUAAUCUCUUACAGUAUUAUCAUGAAAAUUAAAUGUGUUUAUACACAAGAGCACUUAUUUUAAAAAUACCAAAAGAUAAUAAACAAUAAACAGAAUAGACUAAGGCCUAACAGUUCUUUUUUCUUUUUUUGAGACAAUUUCACUCUGUCACCCAGGCUGAAGUGCAGUGGCACAAUCUCUGCUCACUGCGACCUCCACCUCCCGGGUUCAAGCGAUUCCCCUGCCUCAGCCUACUGAGUAGCUGGGACUUUAGAUGUGGGCGACUUUAAGUGCAUGCUACCAUGCCCAACUAAUUUUUGUAUUUUUAGUAGAGACGUGGUUUUGCCACGUUGGCCAGGCCAGUCUUGAACUCCUGACCUCAAGUGAUCCACCUGCCUCGGCCUCCCAAAGUACUAGGAUUACAGGCAUGAGCCACUGUUCCUGGUCAGGUCUCACAAUUCUUAUGGAGAAGUGAGUCAACCAGUUGUGAUAUUUAUUCAGUGUCUAUUGUGAUUAGAUAAUGUAAAAAAGAAAUUAGAGAUAAAGCAAAAGGGAAGUAUCUCUGAAUUUGAGAAUCUGAAUGAGAAGAGAAUCAUUGAAGUAUUCACACAUACAACAGAUAUAGUAACAUAAGUAUACAGUGGGCAUAUUUUUACACAUUACUGAUGUAUCACCUACAUAUCAUAAAAUUUACACAUUUUUAAGUGUAAAAUGUAAUGCCUUUUAGAAAACUUACAAAGUUGUACGAUCACACUACAAUCCAAUUGUAAUAUAUUUUUAUCACUCCAAACAGUUCAGUUAAUCCACAUUCCCGCUCCCAGUCUUAGUCAAUUAACAAUUUGGUUUCUGUCUCUAUAGAUUUACCUCUUCUGAGCAUAUCAUAUGAAAGAAAACAUAAUAUGAAGCUUUAGGAGCCUGUUUUCUUUCAUGUAGAAUACUAUUUUUGUGGGUCAUUAUAGUUUGUAUCAACUUGUCUUUAUAUUACUGAAUAAUACUCCAGUGUGUGGUUAUAUUACAUUUUGUUCAUUUACUAGUUGACAAAUACUUGGACUAUUUCCACCUUUUUGUGAAUAAGGCUGCUAUGAGCAUUUAUAUACAAGUCUUUUAGUGGACAUAUGUUUUUAUUUUUCUUGGGUUGAUUCCUAGUCAUGGACUUGCUAUGUUGUUUGGUAUAUUUAUGUAUAACUUUUUAAAAUAUUUUCCAAAAUGUCUCUGUCAUUUUAUAUUUCUACUAGUAUAUAUGAGGAGUCCAUUUCUUCUAUAUCCUUACUGUGCUAUUAUUAGAUGACUUUUUAUUAUUAUAACCAUUCUAAUUGUAGAUUUAAUUUGCAUUUUAUUAGUGAAUAAUGAUGUUGAGUGUUAUUUAAUGUGCUUACUAGAUAUUUGCAUGACUUGGUGAAAAGUCUAUUAAAGGCUGGGCAUGGUGGUUCAUGCCUGUAAUUUUAGCACUUUGAGAGGCCAUGGUAGGCAGAUUGCUUGAGCCCAGAAGUUCGAGAACAACCUGAGCAACAUAUCUAAACUCUGCCUGCAAAAAAUACAAAAAUUAGCUGAGUGUGGUGGGCACAUACCUGUAGUCCCAGCUACUAGGGAGGCUCAGCUAUGAAGAUUGUUUUAACCCAGGGGGUUGAGGCUGCAGUGAGCCAUGAGCAUGCCAUUGCACUCCAGCCUGGGCAACAGAGCAAGACCCUGUCUAAGAAAAGAAAAAAAGGCUAUUAAAGUUAUUUAAUCAUUUUUAAUUAAUUUGUUUGUCUUAAUAAUGAGUAGUGGAAGAUUUCGUAUAUUUUGAAUACAUUAUAAUAUGUUAACAUAUGUUAAUACAUGUUUUAAAAUUAUCUCUCCCAGUCUAAGCCUUAUUUUUCAUUUUCUUAAUGGUUUCUUUUGAAGUGCAACUUUUAAAAUUAUUUUGAAGCUCAACUUUUAAAAUUAUUUUGAAGCCAAAUUUACCAAGAUUUUUUUUUAUGGAUUGUGUUUUUAGUUUCGUAUCUACUAAUUAUUUGUCAACUAAAGGUAAUAAAGAUUUUCUCCUAUAUUUUAUUCUGAAAGUUUUAUAAUUUGGGCUUUUACAUUUCAGGUUAUUUUGAAUUUAGUGUGAAGUAAGGAUCUAAAGUCAUCUUUUUGCAUGCCUGUGUCCAGUUAUGCUAGCACCAUUUGUUGAAAAGAGUGUCCUUUCUCCUAUUAAAUGGUCUUGGCUUCUUUCUUAGAAAAUCAAUUGACUGUAAAUGUAAGAGUUUAUUUCUGGUGCUCUCAAUUCUGCUCCAUUGAUCUAUGUCUAUCCUUACACUAGUACCAUGAUGUUUAAUUAUUAUAGUUUUUAAGUAAAUUUGAAAUGGGAAAGUUUAGAUCCACAAGCUUUGCUUUUUUCAAAAUUACUUUGGCUAUUCUGGGUCCUUUGCAUUUCCAUAUAAAUUUUAAGAUCGGCUUGGCAAUUUAUGUCCCCACCAACACACACAAAACAGCCUGCUGAGAUGUUUAUUAUGAUUACACUGAAUCUAUAAAUCAAUCAGGGAAGCUUUACCAUGUUAACAACAUUGUCUUCCAAUUAAUAAGUCUGGAAUUUUUCUCCAUUUAUUUAGAUCCUAUUUUAUAGUUUAUUAGCAAUAUUUUAUAGUUUGCAGUACACAAGUGUUGUGCUUUAUUCAUUAAAUUUAUUUCUAUUUUGUUCAAUUGGUCCUUUUUCUUCAACAUUGAUUUUAAUUUUGGGAGCACACGUGCAGGAUGUACAGGUUUGUUACAUAAGUAAACGUGUGCCAUGCUGGUUUGCUGCACAGAUCAACCCAUCAUGUACUUAUUUAGCCCAGCAUCCGUUAGCUAAUCUUCCUGAGUCUCUCUCUCCCCCUACCCUCUAAGAGGCCCCACUGUGUGUUGUUUCCCACAAUGCGUCGUCCUUCAGCUCCUCCUUAUAAGUGAGAACAUGUGGUGUUUUGUUUUCUGUUUCUGCAUUCAUUUGCUGGGUAUCACGACUUCCAGCUCCAACCGUGUUUCUACAAAGGACAUGAUCUUGUUCCUUCUUAUGGCUGCAUAGUAUUCCCUUGUGUAUAUGUACCACACUUUCUUUAUGCAGUCUAUCAAUAAUGAGCAUUCGAGUUGAUUCUGUGUCUUUGCUAUUGUGGAUAGUGCUGCAAUAAAGUACGUGUGCAUGUAUCUUUAUAACAGAAUGAUUUAUUUUCCUUUGGGUAUAUACCCAGUAAUGGGAUUACUGAGUCAAAUGGUAUUUCUGCCUCUUAAGUCUUUGAGGAAUCACCACACUGCCUUCCACAAUAGUUGAACUAAUUUAUACUCCCACCAACAGUGUAAAAGCAUUCCUUUCCCUCUGUGUG
Molecule: long non-coding RNA, 5004 nt
Filed under: Homo sapiens (human)
Lineage: Eukaryota; Metazoa; Chordata; Mammalia; Primates; Hominidae
Description: HSALNT0087432
Source: RNAcentral